GACGAACGCUGGCGGCGUGCUUAACACAUGCAAGUCGAACGGAAAGGCCCAGCUUGCUGGGUACUCGAGUGGCGAACGGGUGAGUAACAAGUAGGUGAUUUGCCCUGGACUCUGGGUUAGGCCUGGUCAACUGGGUCUAAUACCGACUAUGUCCUUACUUCGCAUGGUGUUUGGUGGAGAGCAUUUGCGGUUCAGGAUGGGCUCGCGGCCUAUCAGCUUGUCGGUGGGGUAAUGGCCUACCAAGGCGACGACGGGUAGCCGACCUGUGAGGGUGAUCGGCCACACUGGGACUGAGACACGGCCCAGACUCCUACGGGAGGCAGCAGUGGGGAAUAUUGCACAAUGGGCGCAAGCCUGAUGCAGCGACGCCGCGUGAGGGAUGACGGCCUUCGGGUUGUAAACCUCUUUCACCAGGGACGAAGCGUGAGUGACGGUACCUGGAGAAGAAGCACCGGCCAACUACGUG
This 466-nucleotide ribosomal RNA is filed under the name uncultured bacterium. Its description in RNAcentral is "partial 16S ribosomal RNA". It matches the Rfam family "Bacterial small subunit ribosomal RNA", at positions 28 to 507 of the family's 1533-position model. The record is from RNAcentral.